AACGAACGCUGGCGGCAUGCCUAACACAUGCAAGUCGAACGAGACCUUCGGGUCUAGUGGCGCACGGGUGCGUAACGCGUGGGAACCUGCCCUUAGGUUCGGAAUAACUCCCCGAAAGGGGUGCUAAUACCGGAUAAUGUCUUCGGACCAAAGAUUUAUCGCCUUUGGAUGGGCCCGCGUUGGAUUAGCUAGUUGGUAGGGUAAAAGCCUACCAAGGCGACGAUCCAUAGCUGGUCUGAGAGGAUGAUCAGCCACACUGGGACUGAGACACGGCCCAGACUCCUGCGGGAGGCAGGAGUGGGGAGUAUUGGACGAUGGGCGAAAGCCUGAUCCAGCAAUGCCGCGUGAGUGAUGAAGGCCUUAGGGUUGUAAAGCUCCUUUACCCGGGAUGAUAAUGACAGUACCGGGAGAAUAAGCUCCGGCUAACUCCGUG
Molecule: ribosomal RNA, 433 nt
Filed under: uncultured bacterium
Lineage: Bacteria
Description: partial 16S ribosomal RNA
Rfam family: Bacterial small subunit ribosomal RNA
Source: RNAcentral